AAAAAGAUAAACCCUGGUUUCCGUGUCCAACGUUUGACCAUCCGACUUAUUUGAAAAAAUUAUGAAAAAAAAUUGAAAAGAAAAGUCACACAUAAAGUAUUAAUCAUAUUUUAUCAUUUAACAACAAUAAAAAUACUAAUUAUAAAAAAAUUUCAUAUAAAACGGACAGUCAAACGUUGGAUAUGGAAAUU
RNAcentral lists this microRNA precursor (191 nucleotides) under Oryza meridionalis. RNAcentral describes it as "MIR812 microRNA precursor family". It matches the Rfam family "MIR812 microRNA precursor family". The record is from Rfam by way of RNAcentral. Lineage: Eukaryota; Viridiplantae; Streptophyta; Magnoliopsida; Poales; Poaceae.